GACGAACGCUGGCGGCGUGCCUAAUACAUGCAAGUCGAGCGCAGGAAACUGACGGAACUCUUCGGAGGGAAGGCAGUGGAAUGAGCGGCGGACGGGUGAGUAACACGUAAGGAACCUGCCUCAAGGAUUGGGAUAACUCCGAGAAAUCGGAGCUAAUACCGGAUAGUUCAUCGGACCGCAUGGUCCGUUGAUGAAAGGCGCUUCGGCGUCACCUUGAGAUGGCCUUGCGGUGCAUUAGCUAGUUGGUGGGGUAACGGCCCACCAAGGCGACGAUGCAUAGCCGACCUGAGAGGGUGAUCAGCCACACUGGGACUGAGACACGGCCCAGACUCCUACGGGAGGCAGCAGUAGGGAAUCUUCCACAAUGGACGAAAGUCUGAUGGAGCAACGCCGCGUGAGUGAUGAAGGUUUUCGGAUCGUAAAACUCUGUUGUAAGGGAAGAACACGUACGAGAGGAAAUGCUCGUACCUUGACGGUACCUUACGAGAAAGCCACGGCUAACUACGUGCCAGCCGCCGCCGUAA
This 524-nucleotide ribosomal RNA is filed under the name uncultured bacterium. Its description in RNAcentral is "partial 16S ribosomal RNA". It matches the Rfam family "Bacterial small subunit ribosomal RNA", at positions 28 to 523 of the family's 1533-position model. The record is from RNAcentral.